Molecule: ribosomal RNA, 253 nt
Filed under: uncultured bacterium
Lineage: Bacteria
Description: partial 16S ribosomal RNA
Rfam family: Bacterial small subunit ribosomal RNA
Source: RNAcentral
UACGUAGGGGGCAAGCGUUGUCCGGAUUCAUUGGGCGUAAAGAGCGUGUAGGCGGCCAGGUAGGUCGGUUGUGAAAACUGGAGGCUCAACCUUCAGAGGUCGACCGAAACCAUCUGGCUAGAGUCCGGGAGAGGAGAGUGGAAUUCCUGGUGUAGCGGUGAAAUGCGUAGAUAUCAGGAGGAACACCGGUGGCGAAGGCGGCUUUCUGGACAGACACCGACGCUGAGGCACGAAAGCUAGGGGAGCAAACAGG